AACGAACGCUGGCGGCAGGCCUAACACAUGCAAGUCGAGCGCGCCCUUCGGGGUGAGCGGCGGACGGGUGAGUAACGCGUGGGAACGUGCCCUUUUCUACGGAAUAGCCUCGGGAAACUGAGAGUAACACCGUAUACGCCCUUUGGGGGAAAGAUUUAUCGGAAAAGGAUCGGCCCGCGUUGGAUUAGGUAGUUGGUGGGGUAAUGGCCUACCAAGCCGACGAUCCAUAGCUGGUUUGAGAGGAUGAUCAGCCACACUGGGACUGAGACACGGCCCAGACUCCUACGGGAGGCAGCAGUGGGGAAUCUUAGACAAUGGGGGCAACCCUGAUCUAGCCAUGCCGCGUGAGUGAUGAAGGCCUUAGGGUUGUAAAGCUCUUUCAGCUGGGAAGAUAAUGACGGUACCAGCAGAAGAAGCCCCGGCUAACUCCGUG
RNAcentral lists this ribosomal RNA (433 nucleotides) under uncultured bacterium. Its description in RNAcentral is "partial 16S ribosomal RNA". It matches the Rfam family "Bacterial small subunit ribosomal RNA", at positions 29 to 507 of the family's 1533-position model. The record is from RNAcentral.